Molecule: ribosomal RNA, 989 nt
Filed under: uncultured bacterium
Lineage: Bacteria
Description: bacterial SSU rRNA
Rfam family: Bacterial small subunit ribosomal RNA
Source: RNAcentral
GGGGAAUAUUGCACAAUGGGGGAAACCCUGAUGCAGCGACGCCGCGUGAAGGAUGAAGUAUUUCGGUAUGUAAACUUCUAUCAGCAGGGAAGAAAAUGACGGUACCUGACUAAGAAGCCCCGGCUAACUACGUGCCAGCAGCCGCGGUAAUACGUAGGGGGCAAGCGUUAUCCGGAAUGAUUGGGCGUAAAGGGUGCGUAGGUGGCACGUUAAGUCUGGAGUAAAAGGGAGCGGCUCAACCGCUGUUGGCUCUGGAAACUGGCGAGCUAGAGUGCAGGAGAGGGCGAUGGAAUUCCAUGUGUAGCGGUAAAAUGCGUAGAUAUAUGGAGGAACACCGGUGGCGAAGGCGGUCGCCUGGCCUGCAACUGACACUGAAGCACGAAAGCGUGGGGAGCAAAUAGGAUUAGAUACCCUAGUAGUCCACGCCGUAAACGAUGAGAACUAAGUGUUGGGGAGACUCAGUGCUGCAGUUAACGCAAUAAGUUCUCCGCCUGGGGAGUAUGCACGCAAGUGUGAAACUCAAAGGAAUUGACGGGGGCCCGCACAAGCGGUGGAGUAUGUGGUUUAAUUCGAAGCAACGCGAAGAACCUUACCAGGUCUUGACAUCCCUUGCGAAGUCAUGGAGACAUGAUGGAGGCUAUCAAGGAGACAGGUGGUGCAUGGUUGUCGUCAGCUCGUGUCGUGAGAUGUUGGGUUAAGUCCCGCAACGAGCGCAACCCUUGUCGCAUGUUACCAAUAUUAAGUUAGGGACUCAUGCGAGACUGCCGGUGACAAACCGGAGGAAGGUGGGGAUGACGUCAAAUCAUCAUGCCCCUUAUGACCUGGGCUACACACGUACUACAAUGGCGGCUACAAAGAGCAGCGAGCAUGUGAGUGCAAGCGAAUCUCGGAAAGGCCGUCCCAGUUCGGAUUGAAGUCUGCAACUCGACUUCAUGAAGUUGGAAUCGCUAGUAAUCGCGAAUCAGCAUGUCGCGGUGAAUACGUUCUCG